Molecule: RNA transcript, 7351 nt
Organism: Athalia rosae (coleseed sawfly)
Lineage: Eukaryota; Metazoa; Arthropoda; Insecta; Hymenoptera; Athaliidae
Gene name: splicing factor 3B subunit 5
Exons: 12
Source: RefSeq, a predicted model, not a curated record
GCUCCAUUGCAAAUGGCGGCUCCUUGUUAUUGUUCAUGGCGUUUUAUGACUUGUCCCUUUAUAUUGCCGAUUAUGUCGAGUUUUUUCGCAAUUUUUGCCGCACGCAGUGUGCAUAAAGUGAAGUAAGGGCAGCGCGGUGUAUUUUCAAUCAAGAUUAGUGUGUUAGUGCUGUGUCUCGGUGGAAUUUGGAAGCGAGAAAUCCCGCACGAAGUUGGAAAGAAAUGGGUAGGCAACGGUGUUAGAGAAACGACACUGGGGUGGUUUGGCACAAAGAAGCAGCCUUUCGGUGGACUAACAGACAGUACAGUAGUACCUUGAGAAGUCCCCAGGCUCCCCGGGUAGUUAUGUGAUUGAUGAUUGUCAUGGCGGCAGACAGCGAUGGUGAUCUGAUCGAGACGGUAGUUACGUGCGAGGGGGAUCUCGGGGACCCAGAAUUUGCACACAAGUUCAAGGUUAUCGUCGAACGACUCGAAACCCUGCUCUGUCAAGAAAAGGGUGAGAGUUUGCGGGUGAACAAAGUGGAGCCAUGGAACUCCGUGAGAGUAACAUUUUCAAUUCCCAGAGAGGCUGCGUUACGACUACGAGAGUUGGCAGCCCAAGGCUCAUCAACUCUCACACAACUGGGCAUUCUCUCUGUUCAAGUUGAAGGAGAUCAGGUGAUAUCUUUGAGGAUAGCUAGUCGCUUUGGGGGAGAGGCACAAGAAAUAGUCUUGCGCUCCAGCUCCUCUCAAGAUGGGGGAUCCAAGACCCAAGGCGAUCCUCCAAUAGAAGUCAGUCAUGGUGAAUCCGAUUCUUCUGCUGCUGUAGCUGGACCUAGUAAUGCAUCCAGUAUUUCCUCAGCCCUACGCAAUGUUGCGCAAAUCAUAGCUGCUGGUGCUUCAGGAGAAAAGACUCCCCAAUUUCGAUCGCCUAAUGUGGUAGCUCCAACAGAUUGUGAUCCAAUUCCACCCUUUCUUGCAAAAUCAGUUCAACCAACCGCGGGAAGCAGCAGUAGUGGAAUUUCUGGUACCCAACCUACACCUGCUUCUGGAACUUCGCCGAGGAAUAACUACAACGGCCCAUUUCCAUUCGCCAGCAUGACACAUGCCGCCCAAGCCAUACACAACCGUGAAUCACAAGCUAGUACUGUUAAAAAUUCGGUGCAAUUUAAACAUCAUACGCAACCACCACCGCCCUAUCCUGCACAGGAUACUUUGAUAACUGUAACAUCAUUAAGCACUGGUCACACAACGACCUUACCUGUUACAACUGGACCAUUGACAAAUCAAUACAAACCAGUAAAUGCGGUAGCCUCAGGCCUGUCAUCGGCCAAUGGUAAUAAUUUGACCAACAGUUCAAACGGCAGUGGGAAUCAAGUAGCAUUGUCGAGUCCACUACUAGUAAAUCUGUUACAAAAUGAUGGUAACUCACAUCCCAACAACAUUAUAACCAGUCAAAAAAUGCUACCUCCAGCUACUGUAGAAAGUACUGGGAUAGUGAAUCGCAUAAGACCCACCAAGAAACCAAUUGCCAGAAGGAAAGAUUUGACUUCUCCGAGUGAUUCACCACCGAGUUUAGAGUCACUGCGAACUGAAGAUUUGCUCGGUGCUUCGAGUAUUGUCCCUGAUUUGACCCAAAGUUCUGGCCCAUCAGCAUUCGCUACCGUUAAUGUUAAUCAACAAACCCCAAUAACUCAACAACACUCUGGAAAUGUGAUAGCCUCAGCGCAAAAUUUACCGUCGACCCAAAGUGCGCACCAAGUAUCAAUUGGUGGGCAAAUGCAAACGUCGACAUUGCAUACCCAAGUACAAAUCCAGCAAAAGUUUCCCAUCAGACAAGAACUAGCUUAUCGACCAGCUCAGGUACAGAUACAAAAUCAACUACCUGUCAGGCACCCAUUAAGUAAUCAACAAGUUCGAGCGUCCUUACAGCAACGGCAACAGCUGAUACUCCAACAACAACAACAGCAGCUCAUGGCUCAACAACAAAUCGGUCAACAAAGUGGAAAUAGCAAUCAACUGAAUCCCCAACAAGCAGGAGCACUUGCUCAACCGCAGUUACUUCAGCACCAGAAUAGUAAUACCCCGUUACAACAACCAAUAGUGGGAAAUCAACAGCUUUUGCAACAGCAAAUGCUCCAUUCUGGACCAGGAAUUAACACUGCUCAACAAAGGCUUAAUUAUCUAGGGAAUAUACGUCAGGCAACACCUCCACCUUACCCUAGACAAGCAACUCCGCAGCAGCAGCAACCAACACAUUCAGGGCAGCAAAAUCAGAUGCUCAACGUACAGCAACAAUUGCAUCAUAAUCAAUUAAAAAACCAGAAUGUUAAUACUGGUGCGACGACAGAUUUUCGUUAUGGUCAGAGUCAGAAUAUCCUUAGCAGAAGCUAUCAGAAUUCAACAGGAAAUGGCACCACGUGGAAUGUUCAAAACAGUUCUGUUCCACAAGGCGCUCAAGUUAAUACCACACAGCGUAAUGUUGUACCAAGUCAAGCUCCUGCAUCAAUUUCACAAAAUGUGCCUCGAUUAAAUCACAUGAGUGCUGUAAGCACAACGUCGGCGACAGCCACCCUGGAAAUGCCUGAGCCGUCAAAAAGGGAAGAAGAGCCGGAACCAGAAUAUACGUCAACAGGAAAAAUUCGACAGUUCUUAAUAAAUCCAUUGACUGGUCUUCUGGAACCAAUGCCCAGCGAAAGUUCAGAUUCUGAACCAGAAAGUGCAGUUGACAACCAGGAUGAUUUUUUUUCAUUUCCAUCUCCGUCAAAUGACAGAUCAAAUUCCAUAUUCUCAGACGAUGAUGCAGACAGCAAUUUUUCCAGAAGAAAUGACACCACAACAAAUACAGAUCAAUCUGACUCUGAGACAACAGUAAAGUCAACUGCUAGUGAAGGCAGUUUGAAACACAAUAGGAUAAAAUCUAGCAGAGAAUCUGCUAACAGUCCAAUGCCUGGGGAAAAGAUUAAACUGCGGUUGAAAUUGGAGAAAUCUGAACCAGUUACACCUGCGUAUAAAGUGGAUGUCUCAUUUGUGAACACACCGCCGGUCAGGAAAGCUGAUAAGUCUGUGAAUAAAAUUUUUUCGGCCGGUAUCCAAAGUUCAGGUCCCGGUGGUGAUGAACCUAGAGUGCCUCCGUUACACAUCUCUUUAAGAGGUCGCAACGCGUCUGUAGUUCAAAUCCGAAAAAAGGAAAAAAAGGCCUUGAAAGAAGGGGAGCUUGAUUCUUUAACAAUAAAAAGGCGUGGUAAACUGAAAAAAAUGAAAGAAUCUACCGAUGGAAAUAAAUUGCUUCAAAAAAAGUCAUCCUUAAGCAUGAUAAUUGGUACUUCAUCCACAUCUAAGUUGCCAUUAGCUAAUUCAACCAUCAUUAACAGUACUAACACUGUGUCCAAGAUAAAUAGCACACUUCAAACUGCCAUGAACAAAGCAAACGUGUCGAAACAAGACUCUCCAUUGGAUAACCCAAAGCUGCAAACAUUAAUAGCUAAACCUAGUUCCAGUAAAGCAAGCGACGUAGAUGAUAUACCACUGAAUAGUAGAAUACCAUCUCCAGUUAAGCACAAAUCAGCAAUUCUGAAUCCAACUACAAAUGCUCAGCAGGUUUUGGCAAAAAGUCAAUUGGAAACUGAAGUCCAAAAUCAUACAAGCGAACAUAAAAUUGGAGGAGGUAAGACAAAAAGAAGAGAUUCUAAGAAGAAAUCGGACACUAAUGACGGCUUGUAUCGAGAGCAAAACUUAUUAUCUGGUGGUAGAAUUCUGGAUAACCAGCUAAAAUGGCGCAAACUUGGUUUCAAAGGGAACCCAGGGCAGCCCAUCAAGAAAACUGAAGCUGGACUAACGGAAAAUGUCACGAGCAAAGUUAAAAAAAUUGGGGAAGUAAGGAGAACAAGCGAUAGUGACAUUAGCAGAACUGUCAACGAAACUGCAAAUGCUUUGAGCGUGGUUGCAUCAAGGUUAACGGAAAUCAACGGAAUCAGAAAAGACCUCGUCAGUCAUGAAAAAAGAAGACGUCUAAGUUUGAUGGAUGAAAAGGAUCUACUUUUAGCAGAAUCUCAGAGUGCAGAGAUGACACAACCCCAUGGUCACAAGAGUCCUUCUGAUAGCCUGACGCAAAAAUCUAAUUCAAAAACCAGUACGAGUUUCGAGAAUAACACCCUUGGGUCAAAAAGUAUAAAUCCCCCAACUCAAAAUACGCCACAUCCUCCAAGCAGCCUUGAAAGUAAGCCCCCACCUUCCAGUGCAACUGAAGUGAUAUCUAAAAAUCCACAAGACACAUUGAACAGGUUACCAGGGCAAAUCUCUAAAAGCAAAAGCGAUACUGAACGGUCUGGUGCUAAGAUGAAUUCAACUUCUUUGAACAAAAUUCAUGGUGUUGCACCUAAAAUAAAAAAUCAUGUAUCUGCAAAAAAUGAGGUAAACCCAAACCUCAACAGGCAUAAGAUAGAUCAAUCUCAUAAGAGAAUUAUUCAGAACCAUGUAAUAAAAUCGCAAUCUGAUCGACCAAAUCCAGCGAAUAAGUCAGAUAACACGCAACGCAUCAGUCUUUUGAAGAGUUCACAGAAUACACCAGUUACCAACACAGAACAGACAAUUAGAGUUCAAAAUAUUGAUCUAUCGAAUAAGCCGAUACUGCCGAUUGGCGAAAUUAACGUAACAGAAGCAAAAGUGAAAGAGAAGUUACUGGAAAACACGGUUCCAGUAGGAUUAGGUGUAGAUGCAAAUGUGGAAAGAGUUGGAAAUGGCGGCGGAGGUGAGGAUUCCGGGAUUGAAUCUAUGGAUGCAUUAUCAGAGAAAUCACCAAAUCAAGGGGAGUCCCCAUUGCACAGACCAACAACCGAGUCCAUACCUCAAUCUACUAAUAAAAAUGCGAUUCAGGGAGAAACUCCUUUACAGACAACCAAUAAGAACGUGCCUUCCUCGACUAGCGAUAGUAAUAUGUGUUCAAACUCCGAAAUUCUGAAAACUGGUGAUCCCAAAAGACUAAGCCCCGUAUCCGUUGCUAAUUAUCUAGAGAAUCGGUUAAAACAUGACACAACUGUGAACUCCAGUGAGAAUUGUGUAACAAAUGUGUCCAGUGAAAAAGCAACAUUUAUAACAUCACGGAAUAUCGAGGAUGUGCCCAUCACAAGUACAGAAACUACAGACAAUAGCAAAAAUUUUCAGAGUCCAUUGGUUACAGCUUCUACUACUGUUAUUGCGACUCCUACGUUAACAACAACAAGUGGCGAUGAACUCCUACAGUGUACGAAACCUGAAAUCAAAGAUAUUGGACUUCUGGAUAGUUUCGAAGUAAAAACAGUUGUUAAACCUGACAGCCCUAAACAUACAAAUAACGAAAAUGAAUUUGAUGAACCCAACGUGAAUCAUGAACAAUCAAAAGUUGUCGAACAAGCGUUGGAGAAAAAUUUAGACAUUAUUUCAGACAACACUUGUACCAAUAUUCUAAGCGAUAGUCCUCUUGGACAAAAUAAUAAUGGUGUGCCUGUAAUUCAAAAUCACGUUGCUUACAGUAAAGGGAUAACAGAUAAAAUUGAGCCCACGUUAAUCCAAACAAAUCUGAAAAUAGAAAAUACAUGCUCAAAUAUUCAAAAUUUUACACCUGAGAUUAAAACUGAACCAAAUUUAGUGGUAAAGCUAGAUGAUACAAGGCAAAUAGAUAUUCCUAACAAUGUGGCUAAUCCUUUGCAUUCAAGUUGUGUCAUUAAAUCGGAAUCUGAUAAAUGUCAAAAAGCUAAUGUUCAAACUCAACAAGUUUUGGUUAAAGAAUCGCCAGUUAAUUUACACAAAGUUGGUGACGAGGUGGUUAAAAAAAUCGUUAGCGAUACCACGGACACUAGUGUUGAAUCGCCACUGGCUGAAGACCCUCAACCUAUACGGAUCACUCCUCCUUUGUAUACGUACUCCAAUCCGGUCGUUUCACAACGAGAUGAAACCCCCAGCCCAGCAGCACAUAAUCCAGAUGUAGAAACUAGCGAAGCUGAUCAUGCUAAACGAAAACGUAGAAGAAAACAGGAACUUGAAGGUCGACAAGACAUUAUAUGUAUAGAAGAUAACGAAGAUACACAUUUUCUUGAUAGAUUGAACUCUAACAAUUCAGAUGAUUAUGUUAAACCAAAAUCGCUCUUAGAACAGCUUUUAAUAGAAAUUCCAACAGAAAAUAACGAAAAAAGAUCACUGAGAACACGAUCACAAAAGUUAAAUAGUCCCGAUAUUGUUAAAACUCCAAAAAGCAGUCCACAUGGUCAACAUAAAAUUGAAGAACGACGCAGCAUAUCACCCUAUGCAAAAGCAAGUCCAAAGAUGGGGGUGUCUAAAUUAUCACCUAAUGCUUCAACAGCUAAGAGUGGGAAACGAAAAAGGCAAGAAAGUGAAAGUUCUGUCGCUUCCAGUACCGCUGAUGAUUCUCAGCCUAGACCAGGCAAACGGAAAUGCUCAGAAAAUGCUGCAGAAUUAAUCAAAGCUUGCAUGGGGGUUGAAGAGAGUGGAGCCACUAAAAAACAGAUUUCUACCAAGGAGGAGCCUAGUAGAAAAGUCUUCAACGUACUAUCGAAAUCAAAAAAAGGACCAAUUUUAGUUGAAGUGGAUUCUUCAGACGACGAACCGCUCAUCGAAAUAGCGGGAAAAGCAAGAAUGCGAAUGUCGGAUGAGGCGUCUGCUGCGUCUCCAAAGCCUAGAGAUCAAAAACUGAAUUCGAGCGGCACAGCAACGGGUCAAAUUAUAUCUAGUAACACAUCAAAUACAGCAAAUGCUACGAACAGAGUGCACAGAGAAAGCCGAUUGUUAACAACCAAACAGCCUACUAGUGGAACUUCUGUAUCAACUGGAAAAGAAAGACUAAGAGGAACAUCCGUAUCUAGUAAUGAGUCAAUAGGUGAGAUUCCAACACGCAGAUCGGUGAGGCAAAACACUGCUUCGCCAUUAGCAACUCCUGCGGGAAACACGCGGGGGGCUUCUAGAUCUGUGGAUGACGUAAACAGAAGAAAGACUCGAAGUGGAGCUGCAACAGCCGAGACGGCGGAGCAGGCGAAAAGGCGACGAAUAUCGCGAGAGACCAAAUGACCUUCGGAGAGCGACCUUGACAGCGAUUAGCUACCGUCGCUCGUCAGGGCUCGUCUGUCUAUUUGUGUGUCCAUUAAAACAAAGUUAGUUCAAUCACUGUGUGGCUGGACCCCACCUGGUGACCAUGUAGCGACAAUUACGCACAAUGUUGGUACAGUGUUGCUCGAGUGCAGUGUAAUUGGCGCAUGCGUUGAUCCGUGCGCGCAGCUUCGAGCAGAUUUCGUCUGCUUUCUAUGACAAAAGACACAAACUGAUGUCAGUUGAAGGCGUCCUGUUCACUGGAAAAUAAUUUCAACAAGACUGGAUUGAUUCGA